Peromyscus maniculatus bairdii (prairie deer mouse) is the source of this 151-nucleotide non-coding RNA. NCBI's taxonomy places the organism in Eukaryota, Metazoa, Chordata, Mammalia, Rodentia, Cricetidae. The record is from RefSeq and is a predicted model, not a curated record.
UGAAACGUCUCAGAUCCUGGUCACGCGAGACGCCCUGACCUGGAAAUGGCUAUCUUGACCUGGAACUGGCUAGGCGGAAGUGUUCGCCUGGCAUAUGCAAACACGCCCGACCAUGGGGGGGUGUUGUGAACCCUUCACCAGGCCCCAUCAU